RNAcentral lists this non-coding RNA (780 nucleotides) under Yangisunda tiani. The record is from RNAcentral. Lineage: Eukaryota; Metazoa; Arthropoda; Insecta; Hemiptera; Cicadellidae.
UAAUUUGUUGGUGGGGAACAUAUAUUUAUUAACUAUAUCUUUUAUUAUAUAAUAAUAUAAGUUUUAUUCUUGCUUAUUAAUUAUCUAUUUAUAUUAAUUAUAUGUUUAAUAUUAAAUUAAUUUUUAUCAGUAAUAAAUAUUUUUUUAUUAUUAUAUUUUUUAUUAAGAUAUAUAAUUAAAUUGGAUUAAAAUUGUGCCAGCAGUCGCGGUUAUACAAUUUAUUUAGGUUAAUUAUUUAAGUUUAAAUUUAUUUUUAUUUGUUAUAUAAUUGUGAAAUUUAGGUGGAAUUUAUUUUAUAAAUUUUUUCUUUUAAAUUUUUUKAAAAUUUAAGUUUAAACUAGGAUUAGAUACCCUAUUAUUUUUUAUUUAAAUUUUAACUUGAAUAUUGUUAGUUAAUUUCUAUKAAACUCAAAGAAUUUGGCGGUAAUUUAUUUUUUUAGAGGAAUUUGGUUUUUAAUUGAUAAACCACGAUAUAUUUUACUUUUUUAUAAUUUGUAUAUCUCUAUAAUUGGGAAUGUUUUUAAAAUAUAUUUUCUUUUGUUUUUUUUAACUUUAUGUUAGGUCAAGGUGCAGUUUUUAAUAAGUGAAUUUGAAUUACUUUAAUUUUAAAUUUUUUAGAUUUAUUUUUUAUAAAAACAAUUAAAUAGAAUUUAAUAGUAAAUUUAAAUUAUUUUUUUUUUUGAAUUUUACACUAAAUUAUGUACAUAUUGCCCGUCACUCCCAUUUUAGUUGGGAUAAGUCGUAACAAAGUAAUCUUACUGGAAAGUAAGGUUAGAAAGU